RNAcentral lists this long non-coding RNA (3287 nucleotides) under Panax ginseng (ginseng). RNAcentral's name for it is "long non-coding RNA (PGIN_LNC012769)". Lineage: Eukaryota; Viridiplantae; Streptophyta; Magnoliopsida; Apiales; Araliaceae. The record is from RNAcentral.
CCUCUUCGACAUACCAGGUACGUACCCUAAUUUCGAGGGCGAAAUUUCAUAAGAAGGGGAGGUUGUAAGACCCCAACUUUUAUGAAUAAAGAUGAAUUUUCUAUAAAUAUCAUUUUUGAAUAUUAUGGAGUGAAUUUGAUAUAAUGUUAUAGUUGUGGGUAAUAUUUAUAAAUUUUGCAAAGUACGCAAGUUGUUAUAUAAUAUUCGAUUGGUCGGGGAAUAUUCGUUUUAACAGGGAAUAUUCGUACAACGGCACAAUCAUUGGUGGACCCCACAACGGAAUUAUUGUCGGAUUGAGAAAACGACAAAAAUACUUUAUGAAAAUAACGGCGGAAGUUUUACCGUUAACUGUUGAAACACCCGGUGUUAAAAGUACAGUAAUACGCGUGGUUGCAUAGUAGCACACGGUAUUAAUUAUUGAUGCUUACGUGAUAAGUCACUCAGUUUUGUUGGUAUUAUUAAUGUAAUAAUACAGAAAAUCUUUUUAUAUAAAACAGAAUACUUUUAUAAAGUUAUUCUAUAAAUAGAAUAUAUUAUAUUCUAUUAUGCAUAGUGUUGCAUAGUGUCUGCAUAGUGUUUUGCAUAGUAAAAUCUUUUUAUAUAAAACAGAAUACUUUUAUAAAGUUAUCUGUUUUAUUAGACAAUAAUUAGAAUAUAUUAUAUUUUAUUAUGCAUAGUGUUUGCAUAGUGCCUGCAUAGUGUUUGCAUAGUAAAAUCUUUUAUAAAGUUAUUCGUUUUAUUAGAUUAUAAAUAGAAUAUAUUAUAUUUUAUUUAAAAGAUUUUGCUUUAAAUAUGGACCGUCAGAUUAAAGUAAAUCAAUCUGGACCGUUCAUGAGUUAGUUACUAUGCAGUCCAUUUUUCUAUAAAUAGAAGCUCAUUCCUUCAUUAUUUUCUUACGAAUUCACUGAAACUCUAGAGAGAUAAACUAUAGAGAGAAAGAAGAAAGUAUUCUGCUACUUCACUACUUAUAUAUCCAGUACUCUUCUUCUUAAGGUAGGGAAUAUUAUUUGUUGUACUCGUAAGGGGUGUUAUUCUUUUGUAUUCAUGAAGAGAACUUAUGUUAUUCCAUUCUUUAUUAUUCUGUUGGAAUAACCUGUAUACGCGGGCUACCCUAUACUUGGUGACAUUCUUCUAUUAUUCCGUCUUUACUAUUCUUUUGGAAUAUCCCGUCUAUACGUUUUAUGCCGGACCUGAUUCCGUCUUUAUUAUUCUGUUGGAAUAUCCUGUCUAUGCAUUUUACGCCGGACCUGGUUCUGUCUUUAUUAUUAUUCUGUUGGAAUAUCCUGUCUGUGCGUUUUACGCCGGACCUGAUUCCGUCCAUAUUAGUAUUCCGUUGGAAUAACCUGUCUAUGCGAAGUACCGCAUGCAUGGUGAUUUCUGUUGUUAUUCCAUUCCUUAUUAUUCUGUUGGAACAUCCUAUCGGUGCGAAUUUCGCUUUACCUGGUUCUGUUAUUUAGUAUUCUGUUGGAAUAACCUGUCUAUGCGAAGCACCGCAUGCAUGGUGAUUUCUUUUGUUAUUCCAUUCUUUAUUAUACUCAGUUGGUUAAAGUUUUGACUUCUAUACUCCAUGAAAUUAUUGGAAUAUCCUUGAUAAUUGCGCUUCAUCCAGUAUCUUUUCAUGAAAAUAUUCUUCUGAGCAUUCUUGAAUUUUACUCAACAAAACAGUAUUAUGUUGACAAUUUGUACGUUAUUGAUUCUUGGACAAAUUAAUUCUUGAACUUGUUUUUAUUGAAUUCUUAUAUCAUUGUCAUCAUCCUCAUAUUUAUAUUUUUUGAAAGUCAUCUGUGUCCUGUAGUGCAUAGAUGGACUUGGUAUGAUUAUGACCAGGGAUUAUUCGGUGUAAUCAUNNNNNNNNNNNNNNNNNNNNNNNNNNNNNNNNNNNNNNNNNNNNNNNNNNNNNNNNNNNNNNNNNNNNNNNNNNNNNNNNNNNNNNNNNNNNNNNNNNNNUGAGGGGUCCUUGUCCGAAGGGACUAAAUGAAGCCAGGGCCGGAAGGGUCCAUGUCCGGAGGGACUAAACGAAGUUCCAAGCCUGCUGGUCUUGAAGAGUUCCUAGGGAACUAGUGGAGUCCCAAGGCUGCUGGCCUUGAAGAGUUCUUAGUGAACUGAAGUCCCAAGGCUGCUGGCCUUGAAGGAAUCUUAGUGAUUCAGGGUGCUGCCCUUCCUUAGUGGAAAUCCUUCUAGUUGAAAGCAGAAGAGUGGAUUAGGAGCUUGAGUCUCUGAACCACUUAAAACCCCUUGUGUCUUUUACAUUAUGUCAUUUACAUUAUGUACUAUAACUGCUAUAACUGCUAUGUAUAUUUUAACUGCUUAUAACUAAACUUACUCUACGAACAAUGUAUGUAUAAUUAUGAAUAUAUCAAUGAAGGGGAUCUUUUACUUAUUCCGCUGUGCUUGAAAAGAUUCUUAUGUUUGUUAUAUGCUAAUUUAAUAGCUAUACAAAAUAAUAGAGAAAAGUAUUUGAAAUAAAAAAGAUCUAUUCAACCCCCCCUUCUAGAUCUAUUGUGCCUACUGGGAACUAACAGAUACAAUUUGAGUAGUAAUAUCCUUGUUUGUGUAUAACAGAUUUAAGGUUGAACUUGUACAAUAAAGAGUUAAUUGUUCUCACAAACUCAAAAGAAUAAAACUUCAAUGCGCAAAGCAAUUUACAUAUACAAAUUUCAAAUUAAAAUAUCUGAGAAUGGAAAGGAGAUCAUGUGUUAUUACGAGUUGCUCUGUGGAAAGGAGUUACGAGAUUUGAAAAGAGAGGAAAACUCAAUCCUUGAUUCAUUGGCCCAUUUUUAAUCCUCGAUCGAGUAGGAACUGUGGCCUAUAGACUCUCUUUACCGCCAAGUAUGUCUCGUGUUCAUAACGUUUUUCACAUAUCCAUGUUACAUAAAUAUGUGAAAGACCCGAACCACAUUAUUGAGUUAGAACCGGACGAAAUAGCGGAAGAUUUGACGUAUGAAGAGGUUCCUGUUCAAAUCCUGGAUAAGAAGGAACAUAUUCUACGCUCCAAGGUUAUACCUCAAGUAAAAGUUUUGUGGAGAAACCACGAUGUUGAGGAAAUGACUUGGGAGUUAGAAUCUAAAAUGAAAUCAAGGUAUUAUCAUCUCUUCGAUAUACCAGGUACGUACCCUAAUUUCGAGGGCGAAAUUUCAUAAGAAGGGGAGGUUGUAAAACCCCAACUUUUUGAAUAAAGAUGAAUUUUCUAUAAAUAUUAUUUUUGAAUAUUAUGGAGUGAAAUUGAUAUAAUGUUAUAGUUGUGGGUAAUAUUUAUAAAUUUUGCAAAGUACGCAAGUUGUUAUAUA